Molecule: ribosomal RNA, 457 nt
Filed under: uncultured bacterium
Lineage: Bacteria
Description: bacterial SSU rRNA
Rfam family: Bacterial small subunit ribosomal RNA
Source: RNAcentral
UACGGGAGGCAGCAGUGGGGAAUAUUGCACAAUGGGCGAAAGCCUGAUGCAGCUAUGCCGCGUGUAUGAAGAAGGCCUUAGGGUUGUAAAGUACUUUCAUCGGGGAGGAAAAAACAAAACUAAUAAGUUUUAUUUCUUGACGUUACCCGAAAAAGAAGCACCGGCUAACUCCGUGCCAGCAGCCGCGGUAAUACGGAGGGUGCUAGCGUUAAUCAGAAUUACUGGGCGUAAAGAGCACGUAGGUGGUUUUUUUAAGUCAGAUGUGAAAUCCCUGGGCUUAACCUGGAACUGCAUUUUGAAACUGAAAUACUAGAGUAUCGUAGAGGGAGGUAGAAUUCUAGGUGUAGCGGUGAAAUGCGUAGAUAUCUGGAGGAAUACCUGUGGCGAAAGCGGCCUCCUAAACGAAUACUGACACUGAGGUGCGAAAGCGUGGGGAGCGAAACAGGGAUUAGAUACC